RNAcentral lists this ribosomal RNA (505 nucleotides) under Cervidellus vexilliger. RNAcentral's name for it is "SSU rRNA". It matches the Rfam family "Eukaryotic small subunit ribosomal RNA", at positions 88 to 590 of the family's 1831-position model. The record is from RNAcentral. Lineage: Eukaryota; Metazoa; Nematoda; Chromadorea; Rhabditida; Cephalobidae.
CGCGAAUGGCUCAUUACAACAGCUAUAAUUUACUUGAUCUUGACACAAUCCUACUUGGAUAACUGUGGUAAUUCUAGAGCUAAUACAUGCAUUAAAGCUCUGACCUCACGGGAAGAGUGCAUUUAUUAGAACAAAACCAAGCGGCUUCGGCUGUUUCUGGUUGACUCAUAGUAACUGAGCUGAUCGCAUGGUCUUGCACCGGCGACGUGUCUUUCGAGUAUCUGCCGUAUCAACUUUCGAUGGUAGUGUAUCUGACUACCAUGGUGAUCACGCGUAACGGAGAAUAAGGGUUCGACUCCGGAGAGUUCGCCUGAGAAAUCGCGAACACAUCUAAGGAAGGCAGCAGGCGCGAAAAUUACCCACUCUCAGCACGAGGAGGUAGUGACGAAAAAUAACGAGACCGUUCUCUUAUGAGGCCGGUCAUCGGAAUGGGUACAAUUUAAACCCUUUAACGAGUAUCUAUGAGAGGGCAAGUCUGGUGCCAGCAGCCGCGGUAAUUCCAGCU